Long non-coding RNA from Musa acuminata AAA Group (dessert banana), 957 nucleotides. RefSeq lists it as uncharacterized. The record is from RefSeq and is a predicted model, not a curated record. The transcript is spliced from 2 exons. Lineage: Eukaryota; Viridiplantae; Streptophyta; Magnoliopsida; Zingiberales; Musaceae.
UUUAUGUAGCUAGAAAAAUUCUUGCCUGAGAAGUUCGUUAUUCAAAUAUUUUAGAGGAGCUCUAUAAUUUUGGGAUAAAAGACAGAGAUAACACAAGAAAUAAUAAAGCCCCCUAUUGUGGAGGAGGGUCGAUGGUGGACACUUUUAACCAUGCAAUUACAUCCUCAGAUCAGAUGCAUGGUUCGUGAUUCCUCCUCAUCAGCAUCUCGUCCUCUCCAGUUCUUGGGGAAUUCAGCUUUCUUGCCCACUUUGUGGUUAAUAGUGACUACCAUCAUACGCAUGGAUGCUUCUCUUUCCUGCAGCUUGACGGUGUAUUCUUUACAAUGGUUAAAGCUUUGCUGUAGCUUUUCCAGCCACUGGUGGGAGUCCAACUCACCCAACUAACAGGUGUCCUUGGUGUUCGAGGAACAAGGCGUCAAGUCUCUUGGCCUAUAAAUUACCCUAACUUGAACCAGCGGUGCAUCAUUCUAGCAACUCCCAGUCUCCCAUCACACAGCACUAUGCCCGUCGCAAUACCACCGACAAUACUACCCCCCCCCACAGUUCCUCCCUCCUUCCACACGGUAAAAAGCAGGGAGGAACUGAAGGAAUGGCUGAAGCAGUUCGACAUCGACAAGGAUGGACGCAUAAGCCGCCAAGAGCUGCGACAGGCCAUCCAUGCCGCAAGCAUCUAUAAACACAAUAAAUGGCUGCGCAACUAUCUUGCUGGCAGACGUGGAGUCCGGAAUGCUGACAUCAAUCGAAAUGGUUUCGUCGACGAGGACGAGAUGGACAACCUUGUGGAUUUUGUGGCCGAGAUUGCGGGGCUACGUUUUAUUCCGGGCAAGUAGCACCAAUUAUAUAUAUAGUGGUAGUAUAGUAAUAAUCUUGACGUUGGUGUCUAUGCCAAGGAAGCUUCGAAUGACUUCGAACUCUGUAUGCAUUUCCUUUUAUCUAUAGCAUGACAUCUUUAACUCU